RNAcentral lists this unclassified non-coding RNA (20 nucleotides) under Mus musculus (house mouse). Its description in RNAcentral is "oocyte_clustered_small_RNA4700". The record is from RNAcentral. Lineage: Eukaryota; Metazoa; Chordata; Mammalia; Rodentia; Muridae.
UGCACCAAGCACACAACACA